This 2227-nucleotide long non-coding RNA is filed under the name Selaginella moellendorffii. Its description in RNAcentral is "long non-coding RNA (SMOE_LNC000244)". The record is from RNAcentral. Lineage: Eukaryota; Viridiplantae; Streptophyta; Lycopodiopsida; Selaginellales; Selaginellaceae.
CGCUGCAAAACGAAGUCCAACGCACAAGAGUCAAGAGUCAAAUUAAGUCCAAAGCAAGUCCCAUUUAGUUGCCUCGUUUUUGCGGCAGUGGUCAACGUUCGUCCAGCAGCGCUCAUCAACCACCUUGUCCUCGGGACGAUCGGGGUCAAACAUGACCGCUGCGCCGGAGGAAGUCAUCACCACUCGCUUGAUCUUCUCCUCGCUGCAAGCACGCAUCACAUUCUCCGUUCCAGUGAUUGCUGGGACCAACACAUCCUGGCAGAAAACAAAACUCGAAAUUUCUCAUCGCCCACGAGCAAAACCAGCUAGAUUCUUACAUCUGGGGUGUCAAACUUCCAGAAGAAGGGGCAGGCUGUGUGGAAGACGGCCUCACAGCCCCGGACUGCUGGGACAAUGGAAUCGUAGUCGAGAACAUCGGCUUUGAACAGCUUGAGCCUCUCCCCAGCUCCUGGGAGCUGCUUGAGAUGUCCACACUUCGCAUUGUUACCUGAUGAUUGGGUCAUUCAGAUUUCGGCUAUGGAUCAAAGGUAAAAGGGAGAAGUCUAUGCUUACUUGGGUCGCGCACGGUGCCGUGAACAGUAUAGCCUUUCUCCAGAAGCUGCUUUACAAUCCAAGAGGCAAUGAAACCCCCGGCUCCAGUCACACACACGACCUUCUUGCUUUCUUCCAUUGCCAUGCUCUUUGCUCUAUUUGCUACUUAUUUGCUCUAGCUUGCGCUGCUGUGUAUUUAUACACUCUAUCAAGUCUUCAAGAAUUUCCGCUUGCCUUCUGAGGAAGCAUCCUGGAGCGCUGUGGCGUCGCAACUGGAGCACUAUGGCGCCGGUCUCUAGGCUACUGUUUAACUUAAUUGAUUUUCUAUAGAUAGAUGGGGACGCUAUUAAGCGUGCUAUUUACCUAUUUAUUGUGGCUAAGUCAGAUGUCUGCAUCAUGUUGGUGGAGUUUUUGUAAAGUAGCAAUAGGCUCUUGCACCUUUUGCAGCUACUAUACUAAUUUCAGGUUAGAAUGGCGCUUUGAAGUUGCUGGUGGUGCGACGGUAGCAGCAAGGGAGGGUUCAAUUUUCAACCUUCUCUUGUAUUUUUACAUCCUCCGAAGACUAACACGUCGCACUCCACUAGGGCAUCCAACUCACUUGGACAAUUCCAUAACAAGAGCAAAAUAUAAGAGCUGCGUUCUCUUUGAGGAAGCAAGAACUUAAGAGAGAGAAGGUUAAGUGCGUUGACUUCACUCCUAAAGUGGAGUUGAGAGUCUUUAUCUUUUGCAAACCAAUAUGCACAUUCAUUCAUUUUCGUUUUCAUACAGAUCUAUAGCAAUAGUCCUUGAGUUCUUUCAUUUUCAUGGCAGAAAACCUCGUUCACGGAUGCUAGCAAUGGUGUCAAAGAGAGUUUGUUCAUAAGGUAUGAAUCCUCCAAUUAGCUCUGUAGUUUUCUUGUUUCCAAUCUUCUCGGGGGGGAUUCCAUCGUAUCUUCCGGCAUGAGGAAUUCCAACGCUCGUUUCAGGAACACCCCUACCCAUACAAAUCUCAUUACGCUUUGAACAAAACUGAACAAAAAGGAAUGAAAGUAAACUCACUCAUGGGCACAGCAGCGAAGCUGGGGGAACUUUUCCUUGACCGAUUUCAGGACGUCUCUGUGGGAAAUGCUCAGUGCAACGCAAAAGUAGCGCCCCAAAGCAGCCUCGUUAUCGACUGCCAAAAUGUGAGCUUUUGCAACAUCUCUCACGUCCACGAGAGGAAUGUAAGAAGUUGGCGAAAGAUUCCGGGAACCUGGAUCAUCACAAACGAGAUAAAUGUUUGUACGAGAAAACCAACGAAACCACAGUCAGACCUUCUACAACUUCCUUGAGAUAUUCACUGCUAGUGUUGAGGGUUUGUUGCAAGAGAGGACCAAACACGUAAACAGGGCACACCACAAGAAGUUUGAGCCCUUUCUCUUCGGCAAACUUCCAUGCCGUCUUCUCCGACUCCGUCUUGGCAACCAAGUACCACCGCUGCAAACCGAAGUACGAGUCAAGAGUCGAAUUAAGUCAAAAGCAAGUCCCAUUUACUUGCCUCGAUUUUGCGGCAGUGGUCCAGCAACUCUCAUCAACCACCUUGUCCUCGGGACGAUCCGGGUCAACCAUGACUGCUGCGCCGGAGGAGGUCAUCACCACUCGCUUGAUCUUCUCCUCGCUGCAAGCACGCAUCACAUUCUCCGUUCCAGUGAUUGCUGGGACCAACACAUCCUGGCAG